AGAGUUUGAUCCUGGCUCAGAUUGAACGCUGGCGGCGUGCCUAACACAUGCAAGUCGUGCGAGAAAGUGGGCUUCAGCCCGCGAGUACAGCGGCGCACGGGUGAGUAACACGUGGGUGAUCUCCCUAACAGAUUGGGAUAACAGCGGGAAACUGCUGCUAAUACCGGAUACUAUCCAUUUAAUCGUGGAUGAAAGGCGGCCUCUGCUUGCAAGCUGCCACUGUUAGAUGAGCCCGCGUCCCAUUAGCUUGUUGGCGGGGUAACGGCCCACCAAGGCGACGAUGGGUAGCUGGUCUGAGAGGAUGACCAGCCACACUGGGACUGAGGAACGGCCCAGACUCCUACGGGAGGCAGCAGUGGGGAAUAUUGCGCAACGGGCGAAAGCCUGACGCCCCGUCGCCGUGUGAGGGAAGAAGGCCUUAGGGUCGUAAACCUCGACCAAGGGAAGAACCCCCAAGGUUCUGACUAGGGCGAUGGGCUGACGGUAC
This 487-nucleotide ribosomal RNA is filed under the name uncultured bacterium. Its description in RNAcentral is "bacterial SSU rRNA". It matches the Rfam family "Bacterial small subunit ribosomal RNA", at positions 8 to 478 of the family's 1533-position model. The record is from RNAcentral.